GCUGUGUGCUGUGAUGUACACCUGUAAUCCUAGCAACUCAGGAGGCUGAGGCAGGAGGAUCACUUAAACCCAGGAGUUUGAGGCCAAUCUGGACAACAUAGUGAGACCUUGUCUCAA
RNAcentral lists this small RNA (117 nucleotides) under Marmota monax (woodchuck). Lineage: Eukaryota; Metazoa; Chordata; Mammalia; Rodentia; Sciuridae. The record is from RNAcentral.